UGGAGCAGUCUGGUAGCUCGUCGGGCUCAUAACCCGAAGGUCGUUGGUUCAAAUCCGGC
RNAcentral lists this transfer RNA (59 nucleotides) under Faecalibacterium prausnitzii. RNAcentral describes it as "tRNA-Met". It matches the Rfam family "tRNA", at positions 8 to 63 of the family's 71-position model. From Rfam's summary of the family: Transfer RNA (tRNA) molecules are approximately 80 nucleotides in length. Their secondary structure includes four short double-helical elements and three loops (D, anti-codon, and T loops). Further hydrogen bonds mediate the characteristic L-shaped molecular structure. tRNAs have two regions of fundamental functional importance: the anti-codon, which is responsible for specific mRNA codon recognition, and the 3' end, to which the tRNAs corresponding amino acid is attached (by aminoacyl-tRNA synthetases). tRNAs cope with the degeneracy of the genetic code in two manners: having more than one tRNA (with a specific anti-codon) for a particular amino acid; and 'wobble' base-pairing, i.e. permitting non-standard base-pairing at the 3rd anti-codon position. The record is from RNAcentral. Lineage: Bacteria; Bacillati; Bacillota; Clostridia; Eubacteriales; Oscillospiraceae. RNAcentral also lists the same sequence under 1 other name.